AAUGAACGUUGGCGGCGUGGAUUAGGCAUGCAAGUCGCGCGAGAAGCGUAGCAAUACGUGGAAAGCGGCGUAAGGGAGAGUAAUCCAUGGUUAGCUACCCUCGGGACUGGGAUAGCGGCGGGAAACUGCCGGUAAUACCAGAUGACAUCUUCGGAUCAAAGGUGUGAAUCCGCCCGGGGAGGCGACCAUGUCCUAUCAGCUUGUUGGCGGGGUAACGCCCACCAAGGCAAAACGGGUAUGGGGCGUGAGAGCGUGCCCCC
Molecule: ribosomal RNA, 260 nt
Filed under: uncultured bacterium
Lineage: Bacteria
Description: partial 16S ribosomal RNA
Rfam family: Bacterial small subunit ribosomal RNA
Source: RNAcentral